UGGGGAAUAUUGCACAAUGGGGGAAACCCUGAUGCAGCGACGCCGCGUGAGCGAAGAAGUAUUUCGGUAUGUAAAGCUCUAUCAGCAGGGAAGAAAAUGACGGUACCUGACUAAGAAGCCCCGGCUAAAUACGUGCCAGCAGCCGCGGUAAUACGUAUGGGGCAAGCGUUAUCCGGAUUUACUGGGUGUAAAGGGAGCGCAGGCGGCUUGGCAAGUCUGAUGUGAAAGGCUGGGGCUCAACCCCAGGACUGCAUUGGAAACUGUUAGGCUAGAGUGUCGGAGAGGUAAGCGGAAUUCCUAGUG
RNAcentral lists this ribosomal RNA (303 nucleotides) under uncultured bacterium. RNAcentral's name for it is "bacterial SSU rRNA". It matches the Rfam family "Bacterial small subunit ribosomal RNA", at positions 355 to 675 of the family's 1533-position model. The record is from RNAcentral.